CCUACGGGAGGCAGCAGUGGGGAAUAUUGCACAAUGGGCGAAAGCCUGAUGGAGCAACGCCGCGUGAGUGAAGAAGGAUUUCGGUUCGUAAAACUCUGUUGUAAGGGAAGAACAAGUACAGUAGUAACUGGCUGUACCUUGACGGUACCUUAUUAGAAAGCCACGGCUAACUACGUGCCAGCAGCCGCGGUAAUACGUAGGUGGCAAGCGUUGUCCGGAAUUAUUGGGCGUAAAGCGCGCGCAGGUGGUUUCUUAAGUCUGAUGUGAAAGCCCACGGCUCAACCGUGGAGGGUCAUUGGAAACUGGGGGACUUGAGUGCAGAAGAGGAGAGCGGAAUUCCACGUGUAGCGGUGAAAUGCGUAGAGAUGUGGAGGAACACCAGUGGCGAAGGCGGCUCUCUGGUCUGUAACUGACGCUGAGGCGCGAAAGCGUGGGGAGCGAACAGGAUUAGAUACCCUGGUAGUCCACGCCGUAAACGAUGAGUGCUAAGUGUUAGAGGGUUUCCGCCCUUUAGUGCUGCAGCAAACGCAUUAAGCACUCCGCCUGGGGAGUACGGCCGCAAGGCUGAAACUCAAAGGAAUUGACGG
Molecule: ribosomal RNA, 587 nt
Filed under: uncultured bacterium
Lineage: Bacteria
Description: bacterial SSU rRNA
Rfam family: Bacterial small subunit ribosomal RNA
Source: RNAcentral